GUGUUACGUCGCAUGACACACAGGUGGUGGUGGUGAAGCACCCUUCCCUCUCCACUCACUUCCCCCAAUCUGUGGUUUCCUGGGCACCCUUCCCCCCUGUGCUGGGCUGCAGCCUUUGACGCCUGCGUCUGAAGACCGACACCGAGGCCAUCCCACGUCGAAGGCUCCUUCAGAUGCAGCCUUGUGUCCCAGACUCUGGAGGAUGUAACAGAUGAAUCCUUCGUGGCCCAGCCUAUCCCAAGAUGCAUUGCACACCAGUGACCAUUAUAUAUUAAGUGCAGUUAACUGGCUGACCAUUAACUGUUGCUAACGUUACGUUAGCUAAAAGCUCACAGCUCAAACAAUCUGAAUUUAAUAUGUUUACCUGAAAACGCUGCGUCAGCCUGAAAUACAUCAGACGGCGGUGAAUCAUCUUCAUCAUAUUUAAUACCAACCUGUGGGUCCAUGAUUCAGCGCUAGCUUACUCCUCCUUUCCUCAUGCACAGCUGGUUGCUAGGUAACAGGACUGCCAACAGGUCGUAGGGGCGAGAACAACUGAUGAUGCAACCAGGAAAUGCUCCACAGAGCAGACCGUCCCAUUUCGGAGACCCUUCAGUUUGACUGGUGCGUCUUCAGAGGACGCGGCCACCAUCGACCGUGAAGGCCGCGUCCUUCAGAGGCUGCAGCGCCUGAACUGAGACACGGUUACAGACUCGUAACCAGCAAUGGUUCGGACGGAGAAUCUGUGACUGUGGCGAUGUCAGUGACACGUUUCUGUUGACUUUAUUUCAGAGCCGCCGCCCAUCGUCUGUCCACUGAAAAUGUUUUGUUCUUAUGAACAACCAGAAAAAUCAACUUUUAGAAUAUUACAAAAAAUAUCUGAUGAAAUGAACUGUUUUUGUUUGUUUGUUGUUUUUGUUUUUUAAAGAAUCCUAAACACAUAUCAGUCAAUAAGUUAUUUACUUUAGUUUUUUCUUUUCAUCUCUCACGUGUCGUUUCUUUUAUACCCGAUGUUUUACACAUCGUACUGUUGAAUAGUUGUUUUUAUUUAUUUGUGAGCACUGAUUGGACCAAAGCGACGUCUGCUCCGACGUCACAAAGACGCUCUCGACUGUAUAAAACAAAAACCAGACAGAAAAUUAAACAAUAAUUUAUUUUGUAUUAAAACUUUAAAUCUGCCCCAAAAACAAACUACAAACAUUCACGGAAAUAAAAAGGAAACCUUUUCCAAAAAUAAUUUUAAAUUUUAAAUACUUCAUAUGUUUCAUCAAAAAAUCUGUUCACAGAAAAUACAAAAUUUCAGAAUUAAAAUAAUAAUAAUAAUAAUAAUAUAUCCAGUAGAUUUCAUAGUUUCCCAACUUUUCACAGCAAAUUCAGAAAAUUUAAACAAAAAAAUCAUUUAAACAGCGUGUUUGAACAUUUAAACAUUUAAACAGCGUGUUUGAACAUCAGUGUUACCCAUAAUUCCACGCUCUUCUGAAACAAACAAACAAACAAACACAAACAAACAAACAAACAAACACACACAUUUAAAAACAUUCAGUGACUCGGUCCCUUUUUGUUGCUGUAGUAACGUAAGUUAAAUUUCAGUGUUCCUCUCUUCAUUCAAAUCAAACAUGUAUUUCUAUCUUUGACCUUCACAUUUGACCUUUGACCUUCACAUUGACCCUUUAGCUUACAGAAGAAUAUUUUCAUAUUGUAAAUAUUGUCACAUUUUGUUGACCUUUAAUGUGUCGAUCUGACCGACCAAUCACAGAGAAGAUUAAACUGCUUCAUUCAGACACUUAGUUUUUGUUUUAUCAUUUUAAAGAUUUGAUUUUUGUGUUUUGUUUUUUUCCCGCAGUGAUGCCGGCACCGUGUCCAUCUGUAUAUUUUCAUCUUGAACUUCUCGUCUCUGCAGAGCUUCACAGC
Epinephelus moara (kelp grouper) is the source of this 1890-nucleotide long non-coding RNA. RefSeq lists it as uncharacterized. The record is from RefSeq and is a predicted model, not a curated record. Lineage: Eukaryota; Metazoa; Chordata; Actinopteri; Perciformes; Serranidae. The transcript is spliced from 2 exons.